RNAcentral lists this ribosomal RNA (447 nucleotides) under uncultured bacterium. RNAcentral describes it as "bacterial SSU rRNA". It matches the Rfam family "Bacterial small subunit ribosomal RNA", at positions 329 to 792 of the family's 1533-position model. The record is from RNAcentral.
AUCCAGACUCCUACGGGAGGCAGCAGUGGGGGAUAUUGCACAAUGGGGGGAACCCUGAUGCAGCGACGCCGCGUGGGUGAAGGAGCGUUUCGGCGCGUAAAGCCCUAUCGGCAGGGAAGAAGGAGGACGGUACCUGACUAAGAAGCCCCGGCUAACUACGUGCCAGCAGCCGCGGUAAUACGUAGGGGGCGAGCGUUAUCCGGAUUCACUGGGUGUAAAGGGAGCGUAGACGGCCAUGCAAGCCAGGGGUGAAAGCCCGGGGCCCAACCCCGGGACUGCCCUUGGAACUGUGUGGCUGGAGUGUCGGAGAGGCAGGCGGAAUUCCUAGUGUAGCGGUGAAAUGCGUAGAUAUUAGGAGGAACACCAGUGGCGAAGGCGGCCUGCUGGACGAUGACUGACGUUGAGGCUCGAAAGCGUGGGGAGCAAACAGGAUUAGAUACCCUCGUA